RNAcentral lists this non-coding RNA (45 nucleotides) under Schistosoma margrebowiei. The record is from RNAcentral. Lineage: Eukaryota; Metazoa; Platyhelminthes; Trematoda; Strigeidida; Schistosomatidae.
AUCCAUCUGACGAGUCCCGAAUAGGACAAAGCGUGUGUCCUGAAU